RNAcentral lists this ribosomal RNA (253 nucleotides) under uncultured bacterium. RNAcentral's name for it is "partial 16S ribosomal RNA". It matches the Rfam family "Bacterial small subunit ribosomal RNA", at positions 524 to 776 of the family's 1533-position model. The record is from RNAcentral.
GACGGAGGGUGCAAGCGUUGUUCGGAAUUACUGGGCGUAAAGCGCGGGCAGGUGGCCUUUUAAGUCCUUUGUGAAAUUCCGGAGCUCAACUCCGGACAUGCAUAGGAUACUGGAAGGCUAGAGACUGGUAGAGGCGAGCGGAAUUCCUGGUGUAGCGGUGGAAUGCGUAGAUAUCAGGAAGAACACCGGUGGCGAAGGCGGCUCGCUGGGCGUGAUCUGACGCUGAGGCGCGAAAGCGUGGGGAGCGAACAGG